RNAcentral lists this ribosomal RNA (797 nucleotides) under Ruegeria atlantica. RNAcentral's name for it is "bacterial SSU rRNA". It matches the Rfam family "Bacterial small subunit ribosomal RNA", at positions 28 to 872 of the family's 1533-position model. The record is from RNAcentral. Lineage: Bacteria; Pseudomonadati; Pseudomonadota; Alphaproteobacteria; Rhodobacterales; Roseobacteraceae.
AACGAACGCUGGCGGCAGGCCUAACACAUGCAAGUCGAGCGCACCUUUCGGGGUGAGCGGCGGACGGGUUAGUAACGCGUGGGAAUAUACCCUUUGGUACGGAAUAGCCUCUGGAAACGGAGAGUAAUACCGUAUGAGCCCUUCGGGGGAAAGAUUUAUCGCCAAAGGAUUAGCCCGCGUUAGAUUAGGUAGUUGGUGGGGUAAUGGCCUACCAAGCCUACGAUCUAUAGCUGGUUUUAGAGGAUGAUCAGCAACACUGGGACUGAGACACGGCCCAGACUCCUACGGGAGGCAGCAGUGGGGAAUCUUGGACAAUGGGCGCAAGCCUGAUCCAGCCAUGCCGCGUGAGUGAUGAAGGCCUUAGGGUCGUAAAGCUCUUUCGCCUGUGAAGAUAAUGACGGUAGCAGGUAAAGAAACCCCGGCUAACUCCGUGCCAGCAGCCGCGGUAAUACGGAGGGGGUUAGCGUUGUUCGGAAUUACUGGGCGUAAAGCGCACGUAGGCGGACUGGAAAGUAUGGGGUGAAAUCCCAGGGCUCAACCCUGGAACUGCCUCAUAAACUAUCAGUCUAGAGUUCGAGAGAGGUGAGUGGAAUUCCGAGUGUAGAGGUGAAAUUCGUAGAUAUUCGGAGGAACACCAGUGGCGAAGGCGGCUCACUGGCUCGAUACUGACGCUGAGGUGCGAAAGUGUGGGGAGCAAACAGGAUUAGAUACCCUGGUAGUCCACACCGUAAACGAUGAAUGCCAGUCGUCGGGUAGCAUGCUAUUCGGUGACACACCUAACGGAUUAAGCAUUCCGC